UCGAGCGGCAGCGCGGGGCAACCUGGCGGCGAGCGGCGAACGGGUGAGUAAUACAUCGGAACAUGUCCUGUCGUGGGGGAUAGCCCGGCGAAAGCCGGAUUAAUACCGCAUGAGCCCGAGAGGGGAAAGUGGGGGACCGCAAGGCCUCACGCGAUUGGAUUGGCCGAUGUCCGAUUAGCUAGUUGGCGGGGUAAGAGCCCACCAAGGCGAUGAUCGGUAGCUGGUCUGAGAGGAUGAUCAGCCACACUGGGACUGAAACACGGCCCAGACUCCUACGGGAGGCAGCAGUGGGGAAUUUUGGACAAUGGGGGCAACCCUGAUCCAGCCAUUCCGCGUGAGUGAAGAAGGCCUUCGGGUUGUAAAGCUCUUUUGUCCGGAGCGAAAAGGUUACGGUGAAUAUCCGUGACUACUGACGGUACCGGAAGAAUAAGCACCGGCUAACUACGUGCCAGCAGCCGCGGUAAUACGUAGGGUGCGAGCGUUAAUCGGAAUUACUGGGCGUAAAGCGUGCGCAGGCGGUUUUGUAAGCCAGAUGUGAAAUCCCCGGGCUUAACCUGGGAAUGGCAUUUGGGACUGCAAGGCUGGAGUGCGGCAGAGGAGACUGGAAUUCCUGGUGUAGCAGUGAAAUGCGUAGAUAUCAGGAGGAAUACCGAUGGCGAAGGCAGGUCUCUGGGCUGACCCUGACGCUCAUGCACGAAAGCGUGGGGAGCAAACAGGAUUAGAUACCCUGGUAGUCCACGCCCUAAACGAUGUCGACUGGUUGUUGGGGGGUUUGACACUCUCAGUAACGAAGCUAACGCGUGAAGUCGACCGCCUGGGGGAGUACGGCCGCAGGGU
This 837-nucleotide ribosomal RNA is filed under the name uncultured beta proteobacterium. RNAcentral describes it as "bacterial SSU rRNA". It matches the Rfam family "Bacterial small subunit ribosomal RNA", at positions 62 to 894 of the family's 1533-position model. Lineage: Bacteria; Pseudomonadati; Pseudomonadota; Betaproteobacteria. The record is from RNAcentral.